AUCUUCUCUCAUUAUCAGUCUGAAAUUGCGUCUUUAAUCUCUAUCAGAAACCGGAAUAAAGUCCACUGCCGGAGUACAGUCAAAAUUACGAAGGCAGAAAGGGAUGUAUAUGCAGCCAUAAUUGAUGAGAAAGUGGCGGUGAAAAUGGGACCAGGUCAUUACGAACCCCCAAGAGUGUCUCAAAGCUGGUCUGUGGCUAUUGAGGGAAAAGAUUACAAGGUCUGGGAAGCAUCUUAAACUUAAUGCGGUAGCUGCAAUUAUAUUAUUUAUAUUGUAGAAGUACAUAAAUUUAAAGCAUCAACUGUGAAGUAUUCCACAAUUCUAUUUAUCAAGCAAUUUGAAGGACUUCGGAACAUGAUGGUCUACUUGUUGGAAAUGGCGUGGCCUUGACCCUUCGAUUGAACCCCAUUCUUGACCUGAAAUCGGGCGACUGAGGAAAUGCCCUGUUACAUGGUGUGUGUAUAUAUAUAUAUAUAUAUAUA
Molecule: unclassified non-coding RNA, 482 nt
Filed under: Hevea brasiliensis (rubber tree)
Lineage: Eukaryota; Viridiplantae; Streptophyta; Magnoliopsida; Malpighiales; Euphorbiaceae
Source: RNAcentral